CACACGGAAAUCAUAGAUAGCGAUGAAGAUAGUUAAUAU
Molecule: non-coding RNA, 39 nt
Filed under: Trypanosoma brucei brucei
Lineage: Eukaryota; Euglenozoa; Kinetoplastea; Trypanosomatida; Trypanosomatidae
Source: RNAcentral